GAGAGCGGCGGACGGGUGAGUAAUGCCUAGGAAUCUGCCUGGUAGUGGGGGAUAACGUUCGGAAACGGACGCUAAUACCGCAUACGUCCUACGGGAGAAAGCAGGGGACCUUCGGGCCUUGCGCUAUCAGAUGAGCCUAGGUCGGAUUAGCUAGUUGGUGGGGUAAUGGCUCACCAAGGCGACGAUCCGUAACUGGUCUGAGAGGAUGAUCAGUCACACUGGAACUGAGACACGGUCCAGACUCCUACGGGAGGCAGCAGUGGGGAAUAUUGGACAAUGGGCGAAAGCCUGAUCCAGCCAUGCCGCGUGUGUGAAGAAGGUCUUCGGAUUGUAAAGCACUUUAAGUUGGGAGGAAGGGCCAUUACCUAAUACGUGAUGGUUUUGACGUUACCGACAGAAUAAGCACCGGCUAACUCUGUGCCA
RNAcentral lists this ribosomal RNA (423 nucleotides) under Pseudomonas sp. RNAcentral's name for it is "bacterial SSU rRNA". It matches the Rfam family "Bacterial small subunit ribosomal RNA", at positions 91 to 510 of the family's 1533-position model. The record is from RNAcentral. Lineage: Bacteria; Pseudomonadati; Pseudomonadota; Gammaproteobacteria; Pseudomonadales; Pseudomonadaceae.